Molecule: ribosomal RNA, 468 nt
Filed under: uncultured Anaerolineaceae bacterium
Lineage: Bacteria; Bacillati; Chloroflexota; Anaerolineae; Anaerolineales; Anaerolineaceae
Description: bacterial SSU rRNA
Rfam family: Bacterial small subunit ribosomal RNA
Source: RNAcentral
CAAAUGAAUUGACGGGUCCCCGCACAAGCAGCGGAGCGUGUGGUUUAAUUCGAUGCUACACGAAGAACCUUACCUGGGUUUGACAUAGAGGUAGUAGGGAAGCGAAAGCGGACCGACCCUUCGGGGAGCCUCUACAGGUGUUGCAUGGCUGUCGUCAGCUCGUGUCGUGAGAUGUUCGGUUAAGUCCGCUAACGAGCGCAACCCUCGCUGUGUGUUACAAGUGUCACACGGUACUGCCGAUAUUAAGUCGGAGGAAGGUGGGGAUGACGUCAAGUCAGCAUGACCUUUAUAUCCAGGGCUACACACACGCUACAAUGGCCAGUACAAUGGGUUGCCAAGCCGCGAGGCGGAGCCAAUCCUAAAAAGCUGGCCUCAGUUCAGAUUGCAGUCUGCAACUCGACUGCAUGAAGAUGGAGUUGCUAGUAACCGCAGGUCAGCAAUACUGCGGUGAAUACGUUCCCGGGGAUU